UUGUUCGCAAUCAGUCGCAUCAUUUUGAGAUUAGUCAAGUUGUCAGUAAAGAUAACUCUUAGCUACCUCUUAGUGUCCAGAAAUUGUCAAAAGUUGAUCCGUUCAUGGAAAAUCAUCCGUUGUGAGAAUCAAUCUCUGGGUACAAUCACGCUGGACAAUUUAUUUUGAUAAACUGUUUCAUUGUUAAUUCAAGACCUCAUUGCAUUGAUUAGUAUGAUUUUAUUUUGCUGGUCAAAAUUCAGGAAUGUUAAUUAAACUCCGUAAGUUUAUUAAGUUUUGUAAAUCAUAUAAUCAAUAAAUUUCUCAUAUGUAUUUUGUUAACCAUUUAGUUUCCAUUAAUAUAUUCAUUUUCAAGUUAAUUGAGUAUUCAUUGUGGACUGCACGUCUCUCCUAUAAUUGGGUGAUCUCACAAGUUAAGGCUGAGGAUCUUUUAAAUAAAUGUAAUAAAAGAUAAGGGCAAUCACGUGAUACUGCCCCCCUUCCUCUACUGUCUUUGCGUUCUUAAAAGUGUCUUCAUUUUUAAUUUUAGUUCAGUUCCACCAGUUGAUUUGAAAAGAACAAAUAAUAGCUCACCCGCCGGCCAUAAUAUAUAACUAAUUCAAAACACGCUGGAUUACCGAAAGACGGGAUAGAACGUCUUCUCGAUAUGGUCCCGGCGGGAUAGACAUUCGCAGGUGGUCAGGGCCCCCUCCACCAGUCCAGGGUUUCCUGGACCAUUUCACGGUGGGGCACCUGGCCGCCGUCGUCGGUUACGACCUCAGAGGAGUAGUAACCAUUUAUAUGUGGAAUGUGUGAAUUACUUGUACAUACUAUAUUUAUUAAAUUUUUAGUUUACUA
Tribolium castaneum (red flour beetle) is the source of this 837-nucleotide long non-coding RNA. RefSeq lists it as uncharacterized. The record is from RefSeq and is a predicted model, not a curated record. The transcript has 2 exons. Lineage: Eukaryota; Metazoa; Arthropoda; Insecta; Coleoptera; Tenebrionidae.